CCCGUCACACCAUGGGAGUCAGUUGCUCUAGAAGUCGGUGCGCCAACCUCGUGAGGCAGCCGCCUAAAGAGUGACUGGUGACUGAGGUG
This 89-nucleotide ribosomal RNA is filed under the name uncultured bacterium. RNAcentral describes it as "partial 16S ribosomal RNA". The record is from RNAcentral.